RNAcentral lists this ribosomal RNA (253 nucleotides) under uncultured bacterium. RNAcentral's name for it is "partial 16S ribosomal RNA". It matches the Rfam family "Bacterial small subunit ribosomal RNA", at positions 524 to 776 of the family's 1533-position model. The record is from RNAcentral.
UACGUAGGGAGUAAGCGUUGUCCGGAAUCAUUGGGCGUAAAGCGCGCGUAGGUGGCCUCAUAAGUCCGCUGUGAAAGUCAAAGGCUCAACCUUUGAAAGCCGGUGGAUACUGUGGGGCUAGAGUACGGAAGAGGCGAGUGGAAUUCCCGGUGUAGUGGUGAAAUGCGUAGAUAUCGGGAGGAACACCAGUGGCGAAGGCGACUACCUGGCCUGUUCUUGACGCUGAGGCGCGAAAGCUAGGGGAGCAAACGGG